RNAcentral lists this ribosomal RNA (497 nucleotides) under uncultured bacterium. RNAcentral's name for it is "partial 16S ribosomal RNA". It matches the Rfam family "Bacterial small subunit ribosomal RNA", at positions 28 to 507 of the family's 1533-position model. The record is from RNAcentral.
GAUGAACGCUGGCGGCGUGCCUAAUACAUGCAAGUCGAGCGAACGGACGAGAAGCUUGCUUCUCUGAUGUUAGCGGCGGACGGGUGAGUAACACGUGGAUAACCUACCUAUAAGACUGGGAUAACUUCGGGAAACCGGAGCUAAUACCGGAUGAUAUUUUGAACCGCAUGGUUCAAAAGUGAAAGAUGGCCUUGCUAUCACUUAUAGAUGGAUCUGCGCUGCAUUAGCUAGUUGGUAAGGUAACGCCUUACCAAGGCAACGAUGCAUAGCCGACCUGAGAGGGUGAUCGGCCACACUGGAACUGAGACACGGUCCAGACUCCUACGGGAGGCAGCAGUAGGGAAUCUUCCGCAAUGGGCGAAAGCCUGACGGAGCAACGCCGCGUGAGUGAUGAAGGUCUUCGGAUCGUAAAACUCUGUUAUUAGGGAAGAACAUAUGUGUAAGUAACUGUGCACAUCCUGACGGUACCUAAUCAGAAAGCCACGGCUAACUACGUG